AAACUUACCUAGCUAGGGAGAUACCACGAUCACAAAGGUCAUGGUUUUCCCAGAGCGAGGCUUUUCCAUUGGAUUCUGGAUAUACUAAGCCCUGUAAUUUCCCAAAAUUCAAGAAGCUUGACUGCAUCCAUUGUGGUAUGGGGGACUGUAUUGGCACUCUCACCAU
Mesocricetus auratus (golden hamster) is the source of this 166-nucleotide small nuclear RNA. Its record names the gene U1. It matches the Rfam family "U1 spliceosomal RNA". Rfam says of the family: U1 is a small nuclear RNA (snRNA) component of the spliceosome (involved in pre-mRNA splicing). Its 5' end forms complementary base pairs with the 5' splice junction, thus defining the 5' donor site of an intron. NCBI's taxonomy places the organism in Eukaryota, Metazoa, Chordata, Mammalia, Rodentia, Cricetidae. The record is from Ensembl.